UCAAGCGAACAAGUGCAUGUGGUGGAUGCCUUGGCGAUCACAGGCGAUGAAGGACGCGGUAGCCUGCGAAAAGCUACGGGGAGCUGGCAAACGAGCUUUGAUCCGUAGAUGUCCGAAUGGGGAAACCCGGCCCUUUUGGGUCAUCCUGGACUGAAUACAUAGGUCCAGUGAAGCGAACGCGGUGAACUGAAACAUCUAAGUAACCGCAGGAAAAGGAAUCAACCGAGAUUCCCAAAGUAGUGGCGAGCGAAAUGGGAUGAGCCUUGCACUCUUUAUUUGUAUUGUUAGCCGAACGCUCUGGAAAGUGCGGCCAUAGCAGGUGAUAGCCCUGUAGGCGAAAACAGUAUGAAAGAACUAGGUGUGCGACAAGUAGGGCGGGACACGUGAAAUCCUGUCUGAAGAUGGGGGGACCAUCCUCCAAGGCUAAAUACUCGUGAUCGACCGAUAGUGAACCAGUACCGUGAGGGAAAGGCGAAAAGAACCCCGGGAGGGGAGUGAAAUAGAUCCUGAAACCGCAUGCAUACAAACAGUCGGAGCCUCGCAAGGGGUGACGGCGUACCUUUUGUAUAAUGGGUCAGCGACUUACGUUCAGUAGCAAGCUUAACCGUAUAGGGCAGGCGUAGCGAAAGCGAGUCCGAAUAGGGCGUUCAGUUGCUGGGCGUAGACCCGAAACCAGGUGAUCUAUCCAUGGCCAGGAUGAAGGUGCGGUAACACGUACUGGAGGUCCGAACCCACUAACGUUGAAAAGUUAGGGGAUGAGCUGUGGAUAGGGGUGAAAGGCUAAACAAACCUGGAAAUAGCUGGUUCUCUCCGAAAACUAUUUAGGUAGUGCCUCGUGUCUCACCUUCGGGGGUAGAGCACUGUCAUGGUUGGGGGGUCUAUUGCAGAUUACCCCGCCAUAGCAAACUCCGAAUACCGAAGAGUGCAAUCACGGGAGACAGACAUCGGGUGCUAACGUCCGGUGUCAAGAGGGAAACAACCCAGACCGCCAGCUAAGGUCCCCAAAUAUAGCUAAGUGGGAAACGAAGUGGGAAGGCUAAAACAGUCAGGAGGUUGGCUUAGAAGCAGCCACCCUUUAAAGAAAGCGUAAUAGCUCACUGAUCGAGUCGUCCUGCGCGGAAGAUGUAACGGGGCUAAGCUAUAUACCGAAGCUGCGGAUGCGAGCUUGCUCGCAUGGUAGGAGAGCGUUCCGUAAGCCUGCGAAGGUGCCUUGUAAAGGGUGCUGGAGGUAUCGGAAGUGCGAAUGCUGACAUGAGUAGCGAUAAAGGGGGUGAAAGGCCCCCUCGCCGUAAGCCCAAGGUUUCCUACGCAACGUUCAUCGGCGUAGGGUGAGUCGGCCCCUAAGGCGAGGCAGAAAUGCGUAGCUGAUGGGAAGCAGGUCAAUAUUCCUGCACCAUUGUUAGAUGCGAUGGGGGGACGGAUCGCGGAAGGUUGUCCGGGUGUUGGAAGUCCCGGUCGCUGCAUUGGAGAAGGCGCUUAGGCAAAUCCGGGCGCGCAAUUCAAGGGUGUGGCGCGAGCUCCUUAGGGAGCGAAGCAAUUGGAAGUGGUUCCAAGAAAAGCCUCUAAGCUUCAGUCUAACGAUGACCGUACCGCAAACCGACACAGGUGGGCGAGAUGAGUAUUCUAAGGCGCUUGAGAGAACUCGGGAGAAGGAACUCGGCAAAUUGGUACCGUAACUUCGGGAUAAGGUACGCCCUUGUAGCUUGACUGGCCUGCGCCAGGAGGGUGAAGGGGUUGCAAUAAACUGGUGGCUGCGACUGUUUAAUAAAAACACAGCACUCUGCAAACACGAAAGUGGACGUAUAGGGUGUGACGCCUGCCCGGUGCCGGAAGAUUAAAUGAUGGGGUGCAAGCUCUUGAUUGAAGUCCCGGUAAACGGCGGCCGUAACUAUAACGGUCCUAAGGUAGCGAAAUUCCUUGUCGGGUAAGUUCCGACCUGCACGAAUGGCGUAACGAUGGCCACACUGUCUCCUCCCGAGACUCAGCGAAGUUGAAGUGUUUGUGAUGAUGCAAUCUACCCGCGGCUAGACGGAAAGACCCCAUGAACCUUUACUGUAGCUUUGCAUUGGACUUUGAACCGAUCUGUGUAGGAUAGGUGGGAGGCUAUGAAACCGGAACGCUAGUUUCGGUGGAGCCGUCCUUGAAAUACCACCCUGGUUUGUUUGAGGUUCUAACCUUGGCCCGUGAUCCGGGUCGGGGACAGUGCAUGGUAGGCAGUUUGACUGGGGCGGUCUCCUCCCAAAGCGUAACGGAGGAGUACGAAGGUACGCUAGGUACGGUCGGAAAUCGUGCUGAUAGUGCAAUGGCAUAAGCGUGCUUAACUGCGAGACCGACAAGUCGAGCAGGUGCGAAAGCAGGUCAUAGUGAUCCGGUGGUUCUGUAUGGAAGGGCCAUCGCUCAACGGAUAAAAGGUACUCUGGGGAUAACAGGCUGAUACCGCCCAAGAGUUCAUAUCGACGGCGGUGUUUGGCACCUCGAUGUCGGCUCAUCUCAUCCUGGGGCUGUAGCCGGUCCCAAGGGUAUGGCUGUUCGCCAUUUAAAGAGGUACGUGAGCUGGGUUUAAAACGUCGUGAGACAGUUUGGUCCCUAUCUGCCGUGGGCGUUGGAUAUUUGAAGGGGGCUGCUCCUAGUACGAGAGGACCGGAGUGGACGAACCUCUGGUGUACCGGUUGUCACGCCAGUGGCAUCGCCGGGUAGCUAUGUUCGGAAGAGAUAACCGCUGAAAGCAUCUAAGCGGGAAACUCGCCUUAAGAUGAGAUAUCCCUGGGGACUAGAUCCCCUUGAAGGGUCGUUCGAGACCAGGACGUUGAUAGGUCAGGUGUGUAAGCGCAGUAAUGCGUUCAGCUAACUGAUACUAAUUGCCCGUAAGGCUUGAUCC
Molecule: ribosomal RNA, 2878 nt
Filed under: Burkholderia sola
Lineage: Bacteria; Pseudomonadati; Pseudomonadota; Betaproteobacteria; Burkholderiales; Burkholderiaceae
Description: 23S ribosomal RNA
Rfam family: Bacterial large subunit ribosomal RNA
Source: RNAcentral